Molecule: ribosomal RNA, 772 nt
Filed under: uncultured Thermoplasmata archaeon
Lineage: Archaea; Methanobacteriati; Thermoplasmatota; Thermoplasmata
Description: bacterial SSU rRNA
Rfam family: Archaeal small subunit ribosomal RNA
Source: RNAcentral
CGGCUGAGUAAAUGCCUGGGUAAGUCGUGUCGCUCAACGGUACGAAUUCCGGGUAGACUGCUUAGCUUGAGACUGGGAGAAGCUAGAGGUACUCCUGGGGUAGAGGUGAAAUUCUGUAAUCCUGGGGGGACCACCAGUGGCGAAAGCGUCUAGCUAGAACGGGUCUGACGGUGAGGGACGAAACCCUGGGGCGCGAACCGGAUUAGAUACCCGGGUAGUCCAGGGCGCAAACGCUGCUUGCUUGAUGUUAGCUGGGCUCCGAGCUCGGCUAGUGUCGGAGAGAAGUUGUUAAGCAAGCUGCCUGGGAAGUACGAUCGCAAGAUUGAAACUUAAAGGAAUUGGCGGGGGAGCACAGCAACGGGAGGAGCGUGCGGUUUAAUUGGAUUCAACGCCGGAAAACUCACCGGAGGCGACGGUUACAUGAAGGCCAGGCUGAUGACCUUGCCUGAUUUUCCGAGAGGUGGUGCAUGGCCGCCGUCAGUUCGUACCGUAAGGCGUUCUGUUAAGUCAGAUAACGAACGAGACCCUCAUCCUUAAUUGCUACUGAUAACUCUGGUUGUCAGGCACAUUAAGGAGACCGCUGACGAUAAGUCAGAGGAAGGCGAGGGCAACGGUAGGUCAGUAUGCCCUGAAUCCUCCGGGCUACACGCGCGCUACAAAGGCCAGGACAAUGGGUUUCGACACCGAAAGGUGAAGGUAAUCCCGAAACCUGGUCAUAGUUCGGAUUGAGGGCUGAAACUCGCCCUCAUGAAGCUGGAUUCCGUAGUAAUCG